Molecule: unclassified non-coding RNA, 253 nt
Filed under: uncultured bacterium
Lineage: Bacteria
Also listed under: 1 other name
Description: partial 16S ribosomal RNA
Rfam family: Bacterial small subunit ribosomal RNA
Source: RNAcentral
GACGAAGGUGGCAAGCGUUGUUCGGAAUCACUGGGCAUAAAGCGCACGCAGGCGGCGCGGUAAGUCGGAUGUGAAAUCCCUCGGCCCAACCGAGGAACUGCGUCCGAUACUGCCGGGCUUGAGAUCGGGAGGGGUGUGUGGAAUUCCGGGUGGAGCGGUGAAAUGCGUUGAUAUCCGGAGGAACACCGGCGGCGAAAGCGACACACUGGUCCGAUUCUGACGCUGAGGUGCGAAAGCCAGGGUAGCAAACGGG